UAGACUAUACUUUCAGGGAUCACUUCUAUAGUUUGUUACUAGAGAGGUUUCUCUGAGCGUGUAGAGUACCCGAAACCACGAGGAGGAGGCGUAGUAUCCAUUCCUGAGAGUGAAGUUGGCUCUGGGUGUUGCUUUUGCAGCUGCCCUUUGUCUUUGAUGAUCGUUCUCCCUUCUCUUUUGGAGGAGUCAGAGGGAAGGAAUGCCGUCUGAGUGGU
This is a small nucleolar RNA of Neomonachus schauinslandi (Hawaiian monk seal), 215 nucleotides long. RefSeq annotates it as small nucleolar RNA U3. The transcript has a single exon. Lineage: Eukaryota; Metazoa; Chordata; Mammalia; Carnivora; Phocidae. The record is from RefSeq and is a predicted model, not a curated record.